This 1428-nucleotide ribosomal RNA is filed under the name uncultured organism. RNAcentral describes it as "16S ribosomal RNA". It matches the Rfam family "Bacterial small subunit ribosomal RNA". The record is from RNAcentral.
CAGGCUUAACACAUGCAAGUCGAGGGGCAGCACGGUCUUAGCUUGCUAAGACUGAUGGCGACCGGCGCACGGGUGAGUAACACGUAUCCAACCUGCCGUCUACUCUUGGACAGCCUUCUGAAAGGAAGAUUAAUACAAGAUGGCAUCAUGAGUCCGCAUGUUCACAUGAUUAAAGGUAUUCCGGUAGACGAUGGGGAUGCGUUCCAUUAGAUAGUAGGCGGGGUAACGGCCCACCUAGUCUUCGAUGGAUAGGGGUUCUGAGAGGAAGGUCCCCCACAUUGGAACUGAGACACGGUCCAAACUCCUACGGGAGGCAGCAGUGAGGAAUAUUGGUCAAUGGGCGAGAGCCUGAACCAGCCAAGUAGCGUGAAGGAUGACUGCCCUAUGGGUUGUAAACUUCUUUUAUAAAGGAAUAAAGUCGGGUAUGCAUACCCGUUUGCAUGUACUUUAUGAAUAAGGAUCGGCUAACUCCGUGCCAGCAGCCGCGGUAAUACGGAGGAUCCGAGCGUUAUCCGGAUUUAUUGGGUUUAAAGGGAGCGUAGAUGGAUGUUUAAGUCAGUUGUGAAAGUUUGCGGCUCAACCGUAAAAUUGCAGUUGAUACUGGAUAUCUUGAGUGCAGUUGAGGCAGGCGGAAUUCGUGGUGUAGCGGUGAAAUGCUUAGAUAUCACGAAGAACUCCGAUUGCGAAGGCAGCCUGCUAAGCUGCAACUGACAUUGAGGCUCGAAAGUGUGGGUAUCAAACAGGAUUAGAUACCCUGGUAGUCCACACGGUAAACGAUGAAUACUCGCUGUUUGCGAUAUACUGCAAGCGGCCAAGCGAAAGCGUUAAGUAUUCCACCUGGGGAGUACGCCGGCAACGGUGAAACUCAAAGGAAUUGACGGGGGCCCGCACAAGCGGAGGAACAUGUGGUUUAAUUCGAUGAUACGCGAGGAACCUUACCCGGGCUUAAAUUGCAGAUGAAUUACGGUGAAAGCCGUAAGCCGCAAGGCAUCUGUGAAGGUGCUGCAUGGUUGUCGUCAGCUCGUGCCGUGAGGUGUCGGCUUAAGUGCCAUAACGAGCGCAACCCUUGUUGUCAGUUACUAACAGGUUCCGCUGAGGACUCUGACAAGACUGCCAUCGUAAGAUGUGAGGAAGGUGGGGAUGACGUCAAAUCAGCACGGCCCUUACGUCCGGGGCUACACACGUGUUACAAUGGGGGGUACAGAGGGCCGCUACCACGCGAGUGGAUGCCAAUCCCCAAAACCUCUCUCAGUUCGGACUGGAGUCUGCAACCCGACUCCACGAAGCUGGAUUCGCUAGUAAUCGCGCAUCAGCCACGGCGCGGUGAAUACGUUCCCGGGCCUUGUACACACCGCCCGUCAAGCCAUGGGAGCCGGGGGUACCUGAAGUGCGUAACCGCGAGGAGCGCCCUAGGGUAAAACUGGUGAC